AGAUUGAACGCUGGCGGCAUGCCUAACACAUGCAAGUCGAACGGGAGUAGCAAUACUCUAGUGGCGGACGGGUGAGGAAUACGUAGGAAUUUGCCCUUAAGUGGGGGAUAACCCGGGGAAACCCGGAUUAAUACCGCAUGACCUCGAAAGAGCAAAGUGGGGGAUCGCAAGACCUCACGCUUUUGGAGAAGCCUACGUCGGAUUAGCUAGUUGGUGAGGUAAUGGCUCACCAAGGCGACGAUCCGUAACUGGUCUGAGAGGAUGAUCAGUCACACCGGAACUGAGACACGGUCCGGACUCCGUACGGGAGGCAGCAGUGGGGAAUAUUGGACAAGUGGGCGCAAGCCUGAUCCAGCAAUGCCGCGUGUGUAGAAGGAAGGCCGUUUCGGGUUAGUAAAGCGUACGUUUAAGGUUAGGGAAAGUAAAAACGUCGACUACUAACACAGUAGAGUC
This 453-nucleotide ribosomal RNA is filed under the name uncultured soil bacterium. RNAcentral's name for it is "bacterial SSU rRNA". It matches the Rfam family "Bacterial small subunit ribosomal RNA", at positions 26 to 493 of the family's 1533-position model. The record is from RNAcentral.